GCGCAGCAGGCGCGAAAAACUUUACAAUGUGCGAAAGCACGAUAAGGGAACUCUGAGUGCCUCCUAAGGAGGCUGUUCAGGUGUCUAAAAAGCACCUGGAGUAAGGGCUGGGUAAGACCGGUGCCAGCCGCCGCGGUAACACCGGCAGCCCAGGUGGUAGCCACUUUUAUUGGGUCUAAAGCGUCCGUAGCCGGUUGAGUAAGUUCCUUGGGAAAUUUGGCUGCUCAACAGUCAAGCUUCCAGGGAAUACUGCUCGACUUGGGACUGGGAGAGGUCAGAGGUACUCCAGGGGUAGGGGUGAAAUCCAUUAAUCCCUGGGGGACCACCGGUAGCGAAGGCGUCUGACCAGACCAGGUCCGACGGUGAGGGACGAAGGCUAGGGGCGCGAACCGGAUUAGAUACCCCGGUAGU
This 411-nucleotide ribosomal RNA is filed under the name uncultured microorganism. RNAcentral's name for it is "bacterial SSU rRNA". It matches the Rfam family "Archaeal small subunit ribosomal RNA", at positions 330 to 745 of the family's 1478-position model. The record is from RNAcentral.